Hippocampus zosterae (dwarf seahorse) is the source of this 5409-nucleotide long non-coding RNA. RefSeq lists it as uncharacterized. Lineage: Eukaryota; Metazoa; Chordata; Actinopteri; Syngnathiformes; Syngnathidae. The record is from RefSeq and is a predicted model, not a curated record. The transcript has 3 exons.
UUGGUCAUACACUCGCCCCCGUGCCCCCCAAAAUAAAAAUCAAAUUUAAAUUAAAAUAUCACCUUCUCAAAAGUGUCAUGACAUUCCAAUGCUGCUUGUUCCUACAGCCUUUCACCUGCUUCGUUUUGACACUUGCAUCAUUCAACUCUGUCUAUAAUCACUGCUGUCUUAUGAGGGUCCAACAUUAUUGAAUGGAAUUGAAUUGCUUUAUUGUCAUUACACAUUCGUGCAAAAAAAAUAUCACUUAACAGGAAUGCUUUGCACGAGAAACAUGAAAAACAAUGGUGAACAUGGGAUGCGGUGCAAAGGGCCUGUCGGUACUCGGUGUGUGCACAGCGCCCGAGAUCUUAGUUCAAAAAGGAAACCACUCGGGAGGGAGAGGGGAAAAAAAACAUGCUCGAACUAUCCUCUUCUGAGGAUAAUUGAGUCCAGGAGAAUAAAGACCCCAGCACGUAAACAAGCAUAUGACAGUUCCAACAAGUCACAAGACAUAACAUGUAAUGAGGGGGCGGAUGGAUGGCGGGCGGGGGGAGGAAAAAAAUAGGAACAAUAAAGGCUAUGAUACAAGGGGGUGUAUGUGCGUGCAAUUGUCUGGUUGUGUGUGCGUGUCAGGCUGCAGCUGCUUCGUCAAGGUCUUCUCAUGGAGACAGUCUUGGCUGAUCAGUCUAUGGAUGAAAAGGAGGGGGUGAUGGUAGGGCAUUAGCUUCCAUGCGUACUUUCUUCCAGGGGAAAGGUCCAGAUAGCAGAUGUUUUGGGAACAGGCUGCCAAUAAUUCCAGACAGCCUUGAGUCCGUGGCCUGUGUCUCUUCAAUAGCGUCGAUCAGCCAAAUCCGCGAUUUCUUUUCUGAGCGCGGAUUCCAACUUCUCCAAGUUGUUGUCCAUCUUGCAAUGACGCUCCUAAAACCGCAUCCAUUUUGCGGUUGAGCUCAGUCACCGCUUGGGUCUGAGUGUUGGACGUCCGCACCAUGCCAUCCAUAAAGACCGGCAGCUUCUUCACUUCCAAUAAAGCCGCUCCCGUCGGUUGAAUUUUGCGUUAGAUCAGGAAACUGUUAACACCAAACAGCAGCAUACCUGUUAUCAGAAGGCCGAUAAUGUAGAUGUCUUCCACAUCCUCAACAGACAGUAUUGACAGGCACACCAUUCUCCACUUCCUCCAGGGAUCUAGGGUGUACCUAGCAGCAAAUGUCCCCGAGGGGCAAAUAGGCUCUUCACUGCCUGCUCUUCUUGUCGAGAAAAUUUUGUCGAUGAGAUCGAGAGCCAACCAAUUCCAUGGUUUGUUUUUAGGAUGAAAAUACGGCAGGAGGCUAGGAUAGUCAGACAAAGACAGCACAUAGACUGAGCGGCGAGCAGGGAAGGGUGAGGGGAGGACAGGAGCAGAGCAAAACAGUGUCCUCCUUCGUCGAGAGCCACGCAGAAAAAAAAGCCUUUUUGGGUGGUGGCCUAAUAUCACCACUGGCCCUGAUUUAAAGCAGUACUGAACAAAAGUCAUAAUUAGAAAUUUCAUCCUACCUGUGCCUAAAAUAUUGAAGGGUGUAGUGCUUGUGCCCAAAAUGUACCUACGUACGGGAGAUCAAUGCGGAUGCUUCAAACAAUUAUCCACAAUCGCCACCCUGAAGUGUGUGGAUAUUGUGAUUUAAAACAACACUUAACACAAUUUAUAAUUAUAUAUCUUGGACUACCAGGGGAUGAAGUAGAGAAGCAUGUAUUCUUAGUGGCCAAAAUAAAUGCAAGUAUCUCAUAUUAGUAGGUGAUCAAGGCAGCCGCUUGAAAAAAUAUCUACACUCUAUACUCCCCAUUCUAUAGAUGUUGUGAUUUAAAACAGUUCUUAACAAAAUUUAUAAUUAUAUAUGUUGGCCUGCCCGCCGAUGAAAUCGGGAAGUGUGUAGACUCCAUGGCCAAAAUUCACAGGGGUACAGAGCGUACAAUGCGCAAAUGAAUGGAGUGAAGGAAUGUGCACAGCAGGUGUAAAAAGAGCACAGAGGAUCAAUUUAAGUGGAUAAAAUAAAAAAAUAUUAAACAUUAUUAUUAUUAUUAUUUCAAGACAUGUUAAUUUCAUCUCAUCUAUAUUUUGUGGAAUACUUGUACCGCCAAAAUCAUUACUUUUCAGGAGACUCAAAAACGUUUGUUCAACCAUAAACAUUGCUUUGUCAAAGAGAGUAAGCGAUUUUCAACAUUUUAUAAUGAAAUAAGUUGUAAAAACAACACCCACACACGUCACCUGACCGGCAUAAACUUCAGGUGGUGCAACACAUCAAGCGAUCAGGCCAGUUCCAGCCUGGAUGCGAGUUAUGGCAAGUCACAUUCUUUUGUCAUUGUUUGGCUGGUCCUGUGACAUUCAGCAAACACAACAAAGAGACAGUAUGCCAGAGAGAGGCAGGCGAAUGAUCAGAGAGUCAACGGCGUGACGAGGGAAGGUGCUGGGCGGGGCACGAAGAUUCGCAGCCCAUCAGCUCACUGGAUAAAUCCCCUCGUGCUGUCAUUGGUGGACGUCUGUUCUCGACCAAAUCGGUUUUCAACCAAAAUUUUCGCGUUUUUUUAUGCCUCGGAUUACGACCGAAAUUCGGUUCUCGAACAAACUGAGUGCACUUAAAUGCACCAUUUGACUGCUCUCACCUUCCUUGCACGUCGCUUUCAAUUGUGAGCAGACGUGUUCUGUCACGGUUCUGUUUCAGUCUGGCCAGCAGAUGGCAUUAGCGGACUUCUGUGCACACCUGCUGCUAAUCUAUGAUUAGUUACACAAUGUAUUUAAGGACCCCUCUGCUAUGCACAUGUUGCUGGCGUAUUGCCUUUGCCUUGCUGCUUCCUUGUUCAUAGACUGCUUUUGCUAUUGACCUCGGUCGUGUUUCACUUUUUGAACUCUCGGUAUCAAGUAUUUUGUAAGUAUGGUUUUUAUUUUGUGAUUUGAAAAAAGUGUGCAGUCUGUGAAUGUGUGAGUGCCAAACAGCGAGUAUGCGGGAUUCCGCUGUAGUAGAGGUAAAAACCACCCCCCCCCUCACCAAAAAAAUAAAAAUAUAAUAGGCAGUCAAAAGUGAGUCUUUUAUCUUACCUUGAACUCAUAGUUCAUUUUUUUCCCCAGAAAUUUCAACAAUGUUGAAUACUCAUUUAGAUUGUGGCAGCUUGUGCCCCCACUUUGUGUUCCCUGAAGUAAUUGUUUUUGUUUAUUAAUUUAUAAGGGGCGAUCAAAAAACAAUGAGCCCUAUUCAAUACUGUAUACCAGACUGAUAGUUCAUAUUUUUUCCAAAAAUUUCAACAGUGGGUAGUGAGGAAAAGCGGGAUAAUGGAGACUUUAAAUCGUUUGGAUGAAUCCACUUCCUGAUUGUCAUUUUGGAAAUGAAGUCGUAAUUAGAUGUCCAUUAGAAGCAAAAAAGUUGCGAUUGAAUUCCUUGUUUUGGAAGACGAACCAACAAUAAACAUUUUCAAAAGACUAGAAAACGUUUAUGGGGAUGCUGCAAUAGGCUACAACACUGUCAAAUAGUGGAUACCCAGGAUCAAAGUUGAAGAAGAUCCAAUUUUAAGCAAAAUAUGGGACAGAUGAAAGGCCAUCUUGUGCUUCAUUGUGGAAACAGUGCUAUGGUUGAGGAAUUGUUCAGAGAAAAUCACAGAAUUACAACUGAUGACCUUGGUUAACUUCUUUGAAUAAGCCAUGGAAAGGCUGCAGAUAUUGUGGGGGGGGGGGGGGCGAGACCUCCCAAAGGUUCUUGCCAGGUAGGUUCCAAGACAACUUACAGAUGCCAACAAGCAAGCCCAUAUCAAAGCUUGUGUGGAACUUAUUGAGUGCCAUAAAAGUGACAGGAAAUGAGACCUGAGAUUGAAUCUUUUGAAAAUGUUUAUUGGUGGUUCCCCUUGCAAAACAAGGAAUUCAAUCACAGCUCAGCUUUGGCAAACAUCCAAUGAUGAUGUAAUUUCCAAAAUGGCUGGCAGGUCGUGGAUACAUAUUUUUCUUUUGAUUAAAGUGAGUAUUUUAACCAUGCACUGUUGAAAUUUCUGGAAAAAUACGAACUAUAAAUCAGGUCAAUUGAAAAGAGUUCAUUACUUUUGGACUGCCCAUCGGAAAAUAAAUGUUUAAAAAUAGAAAAAAAAUUAAGGCUGGCCCCUCCGUGAGUCGUCACCUUACUGUGGUGGAGGGGUUUGUGUGUCCCAAUGAUCCUAGGAGCUAAGUUGUCUGGGGCUUUUAUGCCCCUGGUAGGGUCACCCAUGGCAAACAGGUUCUAGGUGAGGGGCCAGACAAAGCACGGCUCAAAGACCCCUGAUGAAAAUUAAGAUAAAUGGAUCGAAGUUUCCCUUGCCCGGACGCGGGUCACCGGGGCCCCCCUCUGGAGCCAGGCCUGGAGGUGGGGCUCGUUGGCAAGCGCCUGGUGGCCGGGCCUACACCCAUGGGGCCCGGCCGGGCACAGCCCGAAGAGGCAACGUGGGUCCCCCUUCCCAUGGGCUCACCACCCAUGAGAGGGGCCAAAGGGGUCGGGUGCAAUGUGAGCUGGGCGGCAGCCAAAGGCGGGGACCCUGGCGGUCCGAUCCUCGGCUGCAGAAACUAGCUCUCGGGACAUGGAAUGUCACCUCUCUGGCAGGGAAGGAGCCCGAGCUGGUGUGUGAGGCAGAGAAUUUCCGACUGGAUAUAGUCAGACUUGCCUCCACACACGGCCUGGGUUCUGGUACCAGUUCUCUCGAGAGGGGUUGGACUCUCUUCCACUCUGGAGUUGCUCACGGUGAGAGGCGCCUAGCAGGUGUGGGCAUACUCAUUGCCCCCCGGCUCAGUGCCUGUACAAUGGGGUUCACACCGGUAGACGAGAGGGUUGCCUCCCUCCGCCUUCGGGUGGGUGGACGGGUCCUGACUGUUGUUUGUGCAUAUGCACCAAACAGCAGCUCAGCAUGCCCACCCUUUUUGGAGUCCCUGGAGGGUGUGCUGGAGAGUACUCCUGCUGGGGACUCCCUUGUUCUGCUGGGGGACUUCAAUGCUCACAUGGGCAAUGACAGUGAGACCUGGAGGGGCGUGAUUGGGAGGAACGGCCCCCCCGAUCAGAACCCGAUGGUGUUUUGUUAUUGGACUUCUGUGCUCGUCACGGAUUGUCCAUAACGAACACCUUGUUCAAACAUAAGGGUGUCCAUAUGUGCACUUGGCACCAGGACACCCUAGGCCGCAGUUCGAUGAUCGACUUUGUAGUUGUAUCAUCGGAUUUGCGGCCGCAUGUUCUGGACACUCGGGUGAAGAGAGGGGCGGAGCUGUCAACUGAUCACCACCUGGUGGUGAGUAGGCUCCGAUGGUGGGGGAAGAUGCCGGUCCGUCCUGGCAGACCCAAACGUAUAGUGAGGGUUUGUUGGGAGCGUCUGGCGGAAUCCCCUGUCAGAAGGAGUUUCAACUCCCACCUCCGACAGAGCUUUUCCCAUGUUCCGGGGGAGACGGGGGACAUUGUU